CAGAGAAUAGUUUAAUAAAAUAUUAAUUUUGGAGAUUAAAGUUAGGGAGUUAUCCUUUUCUCUGA
RNAcentral lists this transfer RNA (65 nucleotides) under Epuraea guttata. RNAcentral describes it as "tRNA-Pro". Lineage: Eukaryota; Metazoa; Arthropoda; Insecta; Coleoptera; Nitidulidae. The record is from RNAcentral.